CUGUCAUGCGCCAUAUAUCCUUGCCAACGCGCGUGGCGUUGGAGGUCCUGUCGUUCUGAUUACCCACUUCCAUCACUUUAUAGCAUGGAUUACGAAACCCAUAUGCAAUCGUCUUCACUUGAUUACCAACCAGUUCGUGGUGUAAUCGUCUUCACAAUUUUAUUAUUGCUGAAAACACCUCCUGAGAUGGAUCCUUUCGUGGUGUGCUGCUGUCUCAGCGCAAGGUCUACUGGUGUCACUCAUGGUAAAAUUAACACCGAUCUGUCCGCGGAGAUUCGGCGCCAUGCUCGCGAUGGUCGCCGUUAUGAGACCAGGUACUAGUACUGCUACUCUGGGUCUCUGUUCCAUGUUUGCAAUGAAAUAAUUCGACGGGUUGGUCGCCAGAUUAGAUUCUGUAAGUCUGCAGCAAUGCCGAAACAACUCUGAACCUGUUACAGUUUGCCCCCUGAACUUGGUGUUGCGUUCUUCAAGUCUAUAUAGAAAUAACCAAACAAGACAGACAUAGUCCGAACUAUUACAAAAUAUGCAAGUCAACCAGUAAAAUGCUCACUGGGAGCUAUCUCAUGUCUUAUGGGAAAUAAUACAUUCGAGAAUCUAGAACAUAACAAGGUACUGCAACAAAGAGAUUGGAUAGUCUUCUCUUAUGAAUAUAAAAUCGAAACCUGUGAGCAACUGAAGAUAAAAGCAGGCUUCAUUAUACUCUUAUACCUGAAAUGGCGUGUAAUCAAUAUAAAUAUCAAAGCCUUUGCAGUCAAUGUUCCACACACCCUAUCAAUGUACAGUUAAGCUGAGACUCUUACACUGUUGCAAGUUUACAAAACCUGCGUUGCGAAGAAGUAGUAAUUGAACUCGUUUCAAUUUUUUUUCUCGUUUCAAAAAAGAAGAAGUAGUAAUUGAACAUCUAACGGCCUUCAAGAACCGUGACACUCAUGUCAUUCAAGGACAGCACCCUAUUGUAGCUGCUUCUUCCAGGUUCGGCGUCCCUGCUUGCAAAAUACACAGGGUGCAGUGGUGUUGGGAGUGGUGUGGUUUUACUUUCUAGCAUGAGCACAACUGUUGACAUGAGUGGCCUACAGUUCGGAUUGUCUUGAGCGCACAAAAGUCCUAUGUGGAUGCAUCGUGAAACUUCAUCGAAGGAACAGUUCUCCUUAACAGAUGGGUCCACCAAAUCUUCUGUUUUCCCAUCUUUCCAUAAGUUCCAUGCCUGAAUAGAGAUUUUUUCCUGUGACCUAAUAUUCAGUUACUGGGUUGUCGUACUGGAUUGAGAGCAUCGCGAAAACUUACAUAGACUAUCAGAUUAGGAAAAUCCAUGACAAGAUGUGGUGAGCUGAUCUUUAAUCCACUCACAAUCUCCAAUAGUAGAACACCAAAGCUGUAGGUGUCAGACUUGACUGAAAAUAUACCUUCCAUUGCAUAUUCAGGGGACAUGUAACCACUGUACAAACGAGACCAAACGAGUCAACAGUACAUGAGGUCUGCAUAAUUUGAAUAAGUGCAAGAAGAUAAAUUCCCUCUGAAUAAUUUGAGAAUGCACGAGUUAUUACUUACUAUGUCCCUACAAUCCUGUUAGUAUUUGCAUGGUGCUGAUUACCACAGAAUAUUCUGGCCAUACCGAAAUCUGAUAUCUUAGGGCUCAUCUCUUUAUCCAAUAAAAUGUUGCUUGCUUUGAGAUCUCUAUGGAUUAUAGUUAAUCUUGAGUCCUGAUGGAGGUACAUAAUUCCUCUUGCUACCUCCUGGAUUAUCUUGAACCUUGUUGGCCACUGAAGCAUUGCUUUUCUUGCAGAGUCUGAUGGAACAAGGUAUAUCAGAAGGGUAUGUGCACAUUUAUUAUUUGGAAAAAUUUUGAAGUAGGAUGUACCGAAGAGGAAGUAAUCCAAGCUUUUGUUGGGUAAGUACUCAUAAACUAACAGCUUCUCAUCUUCAAGAAUACAGCAACCGAGCAGCUUAACUAGGUUCUUGUGCUGCAACUUCGAAAUCAAGACUACUUCAUUUCUAAACUCCUCGGUGCCUUGCCCAGAACCUUUGCUAAGUCUCUUGACGGCUACUUCCUUAGUGCCUUCCAACAUUCCCUACAAUUU
This 2078-nucleotide long non-coding RNA is filed under the name Setaria italica (foxtail millet). RNAcentral's name for it is "long non-coding RNA (SITA_LNC005458)". Lineage: Eukaryota; Viridiplantae; Streptophyta; Magnoliopsida; Poales; Poaceae. The record is from RNAcentral.